GAGGGUAUAGCUCAGAGGUAGAGCUCAUGCUUAGCAUGUACAAGGUCCUAGGUUCAAUCCUCAGUACCUCCA
Molecule: transfer RNA, 72 nt
Filed under: Camelus bactrianus (Bactrian camel)
Lineage: Eukaryota; Metazoa; Chordata; Mammalia; Artiodactyla; Camelidae
Also listed under: 2 other names
Rfam family: tRNA
About the family: Transfer RNA (tRNA) molecules are approximately 80 nucleotides in length. Their secondary structure includes four short double-helical elements and three loops (D, anti-codon, and T loops). Further hydrogen bonds mediate the characteristic L-shaped molecular structure. tRNAs have two regions of fundamental functional importance: the anti-codon, which is responsible for specific mRNA codon recognition, and the 3' end, to which the tRNAs corresponding amino acid is attached (by aminoacyl-tRNA synthetases). tRNAs cope with the degeneracy of the genetic code in two manners: having more than one tRNA (with a specific anti-codon) for a particular amino acid; and 'wobble' base-pairing, i.e. permitting non-standard base-pairing at the 3rd anti-codon position.
Source: Rfam by way of RNAcentral